GACGAACGCUGGCGGCGUGCUUAACACAUGCAAGUCGAACGGUAAGGCCCUUCGGGGUACGCGAGUGGCAAACGGGUGAGUAACACGUGGGUGAUCUGCCCUGCACUUCGGGAUAAGCCUGGGAAACUGGGUCUAAUACCGGAUAGGACCACUGCCUGCAUGGGUGGUGGUGGAAAGCUUCUGCGGUGUGGGAUGGGCCCGCGGCCUAUCAGCUUGUUGGUGGGGUGAUGGCCUACCAAGGCGACGACGGGUAGCCGGCCUGAGAGGGUGACCGGCCACACUGGGACUGAGAUACGGCCCAGACUCCUACGGGAGGCAGCAGUGGGGAAUAUUGCACAAUGGGCGCAAGCCUGAUGCAGCGACGCCGCGUGAGGGAUGACGGCCUUCGGGUUGUAAACCUCUUUCAGCACCGACGAAGCGCAAGUGACGGUAGGUGCAGAAGAAGGACCGGCCAACUACGUGCCAGCCGCCGCCGUAA
This 478-nucleotide ribosomal RNA is filed under the name uncultured bacterium. Its description in RNAcentral is "partial 16S ribosomal RNA". It matches the Rfam family "Bacterial small subunit ribosomal RNA", at positions 28 to 523 of the family's 1533-position model. The record is from RNAcentral.